Molecule: long non-coding RNA, 1106 nt
Filed under: Felis catus (domestic cat)
Lineage: Eukaryota; Metazoa; Chordata; Mammalia; Carnivora; Felidae
Description: lncRNA (ENSFCAG00000052856.1)
Source: RNAcentral
UAGCAGAGAUCUUGUGUAGAUUUUUGAAAGGUAACGUUUCUUCAGCCCAAGUACAGCCAUUGUCCUUGCUCCAACAUGCAGCUUGGAAGUGGGACCUGUACUGCAUUCCAGCCACCCUUGCCCUUCAGGAAAGAAUACACAACCUGAACAACCAUAGGCAGGGCCCUGAUCUUCUACCCCCAGCCCAGAUUAACGGAAGACUAGACUUUGGAGAGGAAGGCCUCGUGAAGAAAGGACUGGAUCAUCUUUCCCCAGCCUCAACAGGAAGGAACAUCCCCAAGUGCAAAGUCAUGUCUGCUACUUGCCCAACAUGCAAGUCUCACGGUGCCUUAAAUGUUAGCAAGUUUCCUCACACCCAGAAAUUCCCCACCAGGGGACACUUGCUUUUCUCCAAGCUAAGAAUCACUCACUGUGAUAAAUGUUGAAUAGAUCAUCCCAGAAUUCAAACCACGAAAAAACGUGUCAAGAGUGAGGGUCACCUCAUCCACCUUCUCUCCUCUAAAAUAACCACUACAUGGUAUGUAUCCUUCUUGACCUUUUCCUACAUACAUAUGUAUAUCAUUUUUUGUUUUUCUCAUUAAUUUGCUUUGGCACUCCAUAUACCCCAGAUACCAUUCCACGAAGUAUAUACAGUUCAACCACAUUUUUUUUUUUUUGAGAAAGAGUACAAGCAGAGCAGAGGGGCAAAGGGAGAGAGAGAAAGAGACACAUAGAGAGAGAGAGAAUCUCAAGCAGGCCCCAUGCCCAGGGCAAAGCCUGAGGUGGGGCUCGAUCUCACAACCAUGAGAUCAUGACCUGAGCAGAAAUCAAAACUCAGACACUUAACUAACUGAGCCACCAGGAAUCCCACAACCACAUUUUUUUUAAAUGUUUGUUUGUUUGCUUGCUUAUUUAUUUAUUUAGAGAGAGUGAGCACAAGUGGGGGAGAGGCAGAGAGAGAGGGAGACAGAGAAAAUCCCAGUCAGGCUCCACGCACAGCACAGAGUCCAACCUGGGGCUCGGUCUCACAAUUGUGAGAUCAUGACCUAAGCCCAAGUCAAGAGUAGGACCCUUAACCCACUGAGCCACACAGGCACCUCUCCCUCACAACCUCAUUUUUAGAUGGC